Molecule: ribosomal RNA, 119 nt
Filed under: Triticum aestivum (bread wheat)
Lineage: Eukaryota; Viridiplantae; Streptophyta; Magnoliopsida; Poales; Poaceae
Also listed under: 3 other names
Source: RNAcentral
GGAUGCGAUCAUACCAGCACUAAAGCACCGGAUCCCAUCAGAACUCCGUAGUUAAGCGUGCUUGGGCGAGAGUAGUACUAGGAUGGGUGACCUCCUGGGAAGUCCUCGUGUUGCAUUCC